Molecule: long non-coding RNA, 474 nt
Filed under: Phoenix dactylifera (date palm)
Lineage: Eukaryota; Viridiplantae; Streptophyta; Magnoliopsida; Arecales; Arecaceae
Description: long non-coding RNA (PDAC_LNC021120)
Source: RNAcentral
UGAUAUGCCUACAACCUCAUGUUAUCCAACAGAGGCUUAUAAUUUCAUAGUUGUAAGUAUUGGGAAAUGUACUAUUCAGAGUUCAGAGGCAACAAACCCAGAAAAAAAGCAAAGACAAGAAACACAAACACUUUGAACUGUGAAAAUAAUUGAUCUGAAAAAUUUCCAAAUUCUCUAUCUCCAUUUUGUCUUAAUUUUGUUGUUUAUUUAGUUUCUUCAUACCAGACUUCAAAAGUAUUUGUGGUCCUUCCAAUCACUUUCAUCAUUUUCUUUGUUCAGAAGAUGUACAAACAAAAAGCAACUGGCUAAAGUGGUCUAAACUAUUGCUCCAAAGGAAUUAAAGUUUAUUUUAGUAAACUCACUUUUAUGGGGAUGGAAAUGUGUAUCAAUUUCUACAGAAAAAAGACUGACUACACCGUAUGAACUAUUUUGAGACGGUUAGACCAUUUCCUUCCUAUUGUUUUAAUAAAACAA